CAACGCCGGGCAGCUCACCGGAUAAGACAGCUGGAUGAUAGCCGGGCUGAAGACUCUGCUUGACUAGCUGAGAGGAGGUGCAUGGCCGUCGUCAGUUCGUACUGUGAAGCAUCCUGUUAAGUCAGGCAACGAGCGAGACCCACGCCAACAGUUGCCAGCAUGUCCUCCGGGAUGAUGGGGACACUGUUGGGACCGCCUCUGCUAAAGAGGAGGAAGGAAUGGGCACGGUAGGUCAGCAUGCCCCGAAUUAUCCGGGCUACACGCGGGCUACAAUGGUCAGGACAAUGGGUAUCGACACCGAGAGGUGGAGGCAAUCUCCUAAACCUGUCCUUAGUUCAGAUUGUGGGCUGCAACUCGCCCACAUGAAGCUGGAAUCCGUAGUAAUCGCGUUUCAAAAUAGCGCGGUGAAUAUGUCCCUGCUCCUU
Molecule: ribosomal RNA, 425 nt
Filed under: uncultured Methanolinea sp.
Lineage: Archaea; Methanobacteriati; Methanobacteriota; Methanomicrobia; Methanomicrobiales; Methanoregulaceae
Description: bacterial SSU rRNA
Rfam family: Archaeal small subunit ribosomal RNA
Source: RNAcentral